Non-coding RNA from Macaca mulatta (Rhesus monkey), 2186 nucleotides. Lineage: Eukaryota; Metazoa; Chordata; Mammalia; Primates; Cercopithecidae. The record is from RefSeq and is a predicted model, not a curated record.
UGUCUCAUUCUUUUUGAAAUUAUUAUUUUAAUUCAUUAAGUAAGCAAUGCUUGCAAGGUACAAAACUAGGAAGGUACAGAGGAGUAGUCAGUGAAAAAUCAAGUUCUUCCCCUUCUGUCUCCAGGUCUUUCAGUUCUUCUAUUUGGGGGUAACCACGGUUCCCAGUGUCAUGUUCUCCUUCUUGAGAUGGGCCGUACAUUGUGACUGAGUAUAUGUGAGGUGCAUGUGAGCAUGUAUACACACACACACAAACACACACACACACACACACUCUUUUUCUUAAUGGCUGUGUGGAAUUCCACUGCCUGCAUGGACUGCCGUUUCUGUAAUCACUCCUGUAUAAUGGGACAUUCCAUUAUUUUCAGUCUUUUGCCACCUCAAGCCAUGAGGCUGUAAUUAGCCUGCACAGACCCCUCUGUGCUCAGGUACGGAUGCAUCUAGAUACAUUAUCACUGAGCUCAAGAGCACGUGCACUGACAAUUUGAGGUACAUUGCUAAGUUUUCUUCCAAACGGGUUGCCACAUGCAGCUCCAUAGGGUUUCCACAAUGUCCAGGAGCUGGGCUGGCUAAGGAGAUCUGGGAAGCCAAGGGAAAGUCAGCCAAGUUUUUGGUCAGCCUUCCCUUUUGUGUCUCUCCUUCCAAAUUUUCAUGACCAGCCUUCUCUAGGCAGUGUGCUUGCUCUUGAAUCCCCAUCAAGCUGAGGCUCUGUUAACAGGCUUUAUUUCCAUUUAGUCCAUCAUGCCCCAAAGGUUCUACAGAAGAACACACUUCUGUAGAUAAAUAUGGAGGGUUAAAAAUUGCCUCCCUAAUCCAAUGUGCCUGAGCAAUGCUGAGUUAAGUGAUAUUAAAACAGGUGUUUUGUUGCAGGACUUAUCAGAACCUUUAACAUGCUAAUGAACAUUGGGAUGUCUAAGAGGUGUUAGAGUGUGUGGAGUUCAUCACAUUGCUUUGACCACGCAAGUUCAGAAAGGCUAAUACGGUUUCACUGCUGCAUUGUACUGAAUGGGAGACUAAAGCCCAAAGAGGAAAGGAUACAAUUAUACACACAGGAGGCUAUAGGAGCAGACACAACAAGGCCUGCGGUGGAUGCUGUUGGGGUCCCACCCAUAUUACCCUGUGAAAUUCUUAAUGUGAAGUACACAGUUACAUCAGUUUGAUAAAGGCAUACACUUGUGCAACCGAUAUCUCUAUUAAGAAACAAAAGGCAUCACCAGCACCACAGAAAACUUCAUUGUGCUAGUUUCAAGGAACCACAAAUCCCCCCUGUGGAGGGCCAACUCCAAACUCAUUUCCCACUCCAUGCUGGCAGUAGACAACAUGUCCCUCAUGCUCAUGCUCUCAGGGCUACUUCUGUCUGGAUGGCACAGAGAUGCUCACUGCAAUGAUUACCAGGCAGCCCAUUGUCAGAUGAAAUACUGUGGCACAGAGAAGACAAGCAACUCACCCAAGGUGGCACAGCUAGUAAGCAGAAGAGCUGGGAUUUGAACCCAGGCAGCCCACCUGGGAGGAAUUUUCCGGAGAUCACUGUCUGAUGACCCUGUCUAGGAAUUGGAGCCAUCCAAGUUACACUGACCGUGUUUGGGUUGGGAUAUUGAGGAGGCUGUGGUUAAAAGCAUAUGAUGGGAGAUCAUAUUGUACUUGUGAAUGAGAUCCGGCUGGAGGAAUGUUUUAGUUCUUCAGAAAUACCAACGGGUCUCUGAGUAUUCCUCCUGGUCCUUUGGGAUGCUGACAGAGGAGCAGAUAUACAGCAUCUCUGCCAUGAUAUAAGGGCUGCUGCGGUGCACAACUGUCUCCCUAGAAGGUGGGAGUGGCUCCACCACCUUGAGCUUCAGUUUCCUCCAGUGCCAUGGGAUUAGCAGCAGCCCUGCCUCACAGACGGUGCGAGGAUGAAAUGAGAUGUGCCGGAGUUGGCUGGUGCGGUGCAGGGUAUACAGAGAGUGCUCAAUAAACGUUCCCUGCUGCGAAUGCCCUGUCCUGGUUCACUCACCUGCAUUGUGGAGCAGAUGAACGAUCAGAACACAGGUUCAAGUGAGCUUCCCCAAAUUGGAGAACUAGCCAGCAACCAAGGCUGUGAUUCAAAUCCAAGAUCAACACACCAGGGGAGAGAUUUCUGCUUUUCCCCACUUGUCUUAGUCUAUUUGAGCUGGUAUCAGAGAAUACCUGAGACUAAGUAACUUACAUGCAGA